RNAcentral lists this ribosomal RNA (407 nucleotides) under uncultured microorganism. RNAcentral's name for it is "bacterial SSU rRNA". It matches the Rfam family "Bacterial small subunit ribosomal RNA", at positions 509 to 917 of the family's 1533-position model. The record is from RNAcentral.
CAGCCGCCGCGGUAAUACGGAGGGCGCGAGCGUUGUCCGGAUUCACUGGGCGUAAAGCGGGUGUAGGCGGUCGGGUAAGUCGGACGUGAAAGCCCGGGGCUCAACCCCGGAAGGGCGUCCGAAACUGCUCGACUUGAGGGCGGGAGAGGGAGGUGGAAUUCCCGGUGUAGCGGUGAAAUCCGUAGAUAUCGGCAGGAACGCCGGUGGGGAAGCCGGUCUCCUGGGCCGCGCCCGACGCUGAGGCCCGAAAGCUAGGGGAGCAAACCGGAUUAGAUACCCGGGUAGUCCUAGCCGUAAACGAUGCCCACUAGGUGUGGGGGAGUAUUUCCUCCGUGCUGUAGCUAACGCGUUAAGUGGGCCGCCUGGGGAGUACGCCCGCAAGGGUGAAACUUAAAGGAAUUGGCGGG